CAAGGCAUUUCAGCUCUUCAUUUUUUAUUAAUUUGUAAAAAUAAAAAAAAUAAAAGAUCCACUUUGACAUUAUGCAGUAUUGUGUGCAGAUCAGUGACACAUCUAAAUUGAAUACAUUUUAAAUGCAGGCUGUAACACAACAAAAUGGGGAAAAAGUAAAUGGGGUGUGAAUACUUUCUGAAGGCACGGUAUGUUUUUAAGUGUAAAUGUAUAUCAAAUCUCCAUUAACUUACACUGGCAAUCUUUUAAGUAGUUUAAAGAUGCACUAUAAAGAAAUCUCUCUGUUUGCUAAAAUUCCAAAUGUUGGUUUGUAACAAAACAAGCAAAAAUAGUGUAGAGGGAUCAUUGUACCAUCUAAACUGCUGUGAAAUAUAUUUUUCAUAACCAAAAAUAUAGUAUUUUCAGCUGUUUGAAGUUAUUGUACAAAACAGAAAGUAAGAGUUAAAAACAAAACUUAUGAACAGAAGCAUAGAAAUAACACACAUAGAACAGAUCUACUACAUCUUAGACUUGCUUUCAAUGAGAAUGAAUGAUCUAUAACUCCUCACAAUUCUAUUUGAAUUUGGCCAGGUUGCCCAAAAAGUUAUAUAUUGCAGCUUUAAAUUGAAGCAACCCACUACAAUUCACACUGAAAUGUUGAAAUGUAUGCAUUGAAAACAGUUGAAAACAGCAUAGAAAUACAAGGUCACAAAAGAGAAGCCGGGUACAAUUUUAACAUAUCAAAUGUAUACCGUACUAAUUACUGGAGAAUACAAACAAAUACACACUUAUUCUGGGAAAUAUAUUUUUAAAAAAGAGGCAAGCACAGUAAGAGCACAUAAUUUGGCCAUGCUGAACGGACAGGUUCAUAAGUCACUUUAAUUAAACUUCCAUUCCCCAACCAUCAUUAACUAUAGCUAUGAAUCUUCAAAAAGCUUGAACCUUCCUCAAAACCUAAAGAGCCUGGUCCCAGUCUCAGCUCCAUUUACAACUAACCUCACCAAAACCAAUCUAUUCAUUUGUGAGAUAUUCGCUAUUCACCAAUAAGCAAAUAAACAGACAAAAAACAUAAUACAAACGUUACUGUUUGGUUGACACCUAGUGGCAACUGAAGGUAACGAAUGACCAAUCUGUCAAUCAUUUUGUGGCUGGGGGAAGGGGGAUAGUAACUUACUUAUUAGGACACGUAUACCCAAAAUCCCUACACCAGCCUCAAAUGUAGGUAAAGUAGCAAAGUGUGGGCAAAAUUCACUAGAAGGAUAAAACUUAAUGACAGUUAAGAGUAAGAGAACACCCACAUAUCAUAGCAAGUAACUUUGAAUGACAAAGUUGUGUCAGAAUUACCUAUGGAUAACAAUAGGUUAAACCUGGAUGCCUACUCUAGUCAACCGCAAAUACAACAUGUUUCUCGUAAGUUACAGACCUAUAAGACAUUAAAAAAAAAAAAUUAUAGUAUCAACAUCAAGAAAAAAAGUAUUAAAAUGCGUACUCACUGCUGUAAGUCGCUCUGGAUAAGAGUGUCUGCUAAAUGACUCAAAUGUAAAACGGACUGUGACAUUAUGUGACACCAGUUUGCAAUGAUUAGAUGAUAUCAUUUUUUUAAACAUAAAAAGCAAGAAAAAUAAAGAAAACGUGAUGGAAAUAUAAGAGUUAACUACAAUAUACUUGUAUUUUAAACACCAUAUUUGGUUGUGUACAUGGUAUAAAUGCCAUUGAAGUUUAGUAUUUUCUUGUGCUGCCCUAGAGCAUAGAAAAGCAUACCAUCUCAGUGAAUGUUAAAUAAGUAUUUUCCUGCCAUACUGUCUACCUAAUACCAUCUUCAAAGUAAUCUUGUCAUGUUUACCUCUAAAACCAACCCAAGAGCCAUUCCUCCCAUUUUAAUCCAUACUCUCUAUCCCCAUGACAGGAAUCAUCUGGGUUGUGUUGAUUAGGGUACGCAAAAAACAAAAAUAAACAUUUUUUAAAAACAUUUUGCACUGGAAACUGAAAAUGAGUGUUGCUUAUUGUCCCUUUUAUUCCAUUUAACGGCAAAUAAACACGACCCUAGAGGCACAGAGGGGGGGGGGUAGGGUGGUGUCGGGGUGAUACAGGAGGGGACAGGUGGAUGUUAUAAGAGAUUUAGGGGUCUCGUCGGAUGAACCAGAUCUCGUUCCUGCGACAGGACUCCCCAGGGUUGUUGUAGACAGCCACCAUGUAGGAGUAGCGAUGCAUCUCCUCGCUGGGGCCCAGCAUCUCCCACAGCAGGUUAAUCUGAGGCAUGAUUGUCUCCUCCGUGGUGGUGCCGAAGAAAGUCC
Oncorhynchus tshawytscha (Chinook salmon) is the source of this 2273-nucleotide long non-coding RNA. The record is from Ensembl. Lineage: Eukaryota; Metazoa; Chordata; Actinopteri; Salmoniformes; Salmonidae.